AUGCAAGUCGAGCGCAUCCUUCGGGAUGAGCGGCGGACGGGUUAGUAACGCGUGGGAACGUGCCCUUCUCUAAGGAAUAGCCUCUGGAAACGGAGAGUAAUACCUUAUACGCCCUUCGGGGGAAAGAUUUAUCGGAGAAGGAUCGGCCCGCGUUAGACUAGAUAGUUGGUGGGGUAACGGCCUACCAAGUCUACGAUCUAUAGCUGGUUUUAGAGGAUGAUCAGCAACACUGGGACUGAGACACGGCCCAGACUCCUACGGGAGGCAGCAGUAGGGAAUCUUGGACAAUGGGCGCAAGCCUGAUCCAGCCAUGCCGCGUGAGUGAAGAAGGCCUUAGGGUCGUAAAGCUCUUUCGCCUGUGAUGAUAAUGACAGUAGCAGGUAAAGAAACCCCGGCUAACUCCGUGCCAGCAGCCGCGGUAAUACGGAGGGGGUUAGCGUUGUUCGGAAUUACUGGGCGUAAAGCGCGCGUAGGCGGAUUGGAAAGUUGGGGGUGAAAUCCCAGGGCUCAACCCUGGAACUGCCUCCAAAACUCCCAGUCUAGAGUUCGAGAGAGGUGAGUGGAAUUCCAAGUGUAGAGGUGAAAUUCGUAGAUAUUUGGAGGAACACCAGUGGCGAAGGCGGCUCACUGGCUCGAUACUGACGCUGAGG
This 650-nucleotide ribosomal RNA is filed under the name uncultured bacterium. Its description in RNAcentral is "bacterial SSU rRNA". It matches the Rfam family "Bacterial small subunit ribosomal RNA", at positions 55 to 751 of the family's 1533-position model. The record is from RNAcentral.